Non-coding RNA from Nicotiana tabacum (common tobacco), 3776 nucleotides. NCBI's taxonomy places the organism in Eukaryota, Viridiplantae, Streptophyta, Magnoliopsida, Solanales, Solanaceae. The record is from RefSeq and is a predicted model, not a curated record.
GAGAGCAGAGAAUCCAAACCCGGAUUCGUUUUCACAGAUUAAACCGGAUUUGAUAAACCAAGUGAUACGUCCGGAACUUUGGUAGUAGUAAUUCGAGGAUAGCUUCAUUCAUGCCGGUUCUCGGUCAAGCAAAAGCGCCACCAUACCAAUUCCGAAGAAGAGAGAGAAAGUCUGCUGACGCCGUCGAGUUUCUCUCUCUAAAACCCGCACAUAUUCAUCUAAUCCUUAUCAAUUAUUAAUUGGAUAUUUCAACUGCUACGGAGUAACUUCUUGCAGUUGUGUGUAUCUACGGAAGGGUAUAAAGAUGGAUUUGGUUGCUAGUUGCAAGGAUAAAUUGGCAUAUUUUCGGAUAAAGGAGCUCAAAGAUGUUCUGACUCAACUUGGUCUUUCAAAGCAAGGGAAGAAGCAGGACCUUGUUGAUCGCAUAUUAGCUACACUUUCUGAUGAAAGAGUUUCAGGAAUGUGGCCAAAGAAAAACAGUGUUGGGAAGGAAGAUGUUGCAAAACUUGUUGAUGACAUUUACAGAAAAAUGCAGGUGGGUGGGGCCACUGAGCUAGCAUCGAAGUCACAAGUCGUCUCGGAUAGUAGUAAUGUGAAGUUAAAAGAGGAAAUUGAAGACUCUUCUUACCAUAUGAAAAUUCGCUGUGUGUGCGCAAGCUCGUUACAAACUGAAACAAUGAUUCAGUGUGAAGACAGAAGGUGUCACACUUGGCAACAUGUGCGUUGUGUUAUCAUACCAGAUAAGCCGAUGGAGGGUGGUGAUCCACCAAUUCCGCCUACAACUUUUUACUGUGAAUUGUGCAGACUGGGUCGUGCUGACCCCUUCUGGGUGACAAUGGGACACCCUUUAUACCCUGCAAAGUUGUCUAUUACAAGCGUUCCUGCCGAUGGCACGAACCCUGUGCAGAGUAUUGAGAAAACAUUUCAGAUCACUAGAGCAGACAGAGACUUGUUGGCAAAACAGGAAUAUGAUCUCCAGGCUUGGUGCAUGCUUCUCAACGACAAGGUACAAUUUAGGAUGCAGUGGCCUCAAUAUGCAGAUUUGCAGGUGAAUGGGGUUCCUGUGCGCGCGAUAAAUAGACCUGGCUCUCAAUUGUUGGGUGCUAAUGGUCGAGAUGACGGCCCUAUAAUCACACCAUGCACCAGAGAUGGAAUCAACAAAAUCACAUUAACAGGAUGCGAUGCUCGUGUCUUUUGCUUGGGGGUUAGACUUGUGAAGCGGCGUACUGUUCAACAGGUUCUUAGUUUGAUCCCAAAGGAGUCAGAUGGUGAGCAGUUUGAAGAUGCUCUUACUCGCGUUCGUCGUUGUGUUGGUGGUGGGACGGCCACUGAAAAUGCCGAUAGUGAUAGUGAUCUGGAAGUGGUUGCUGAUUGUAUUCCUGUCAAUCUUCGCUGCCCUAUGAGCGGUUCAAGGAUGAAAGUUGCUGGAAGAUUCAAACCUUGUAUACACAUGGGCUGCUUUGAUCUUGAAGUCUUUGUUGAAAUGAAUCAAAGGUCAAGGAAGUGGCAAUGCCCCAUCUGUCUCAAGAACUACGCUUUGGAGCAUGUCAUCAUAGAUCCAUAUUUCAAUCGAAUCACUUCUCGGCUGCGAAGUUGUGGAGAAGAUGUUGCAGAAAUUGAAGUGAAACCUGAUGGUUCUUGGCGUGCAAAGAUAGAAGGUGAUCGACAGAGUCUUGGGGAUCUUGGGCGCUGGCACUUACCUGAUGGGAGCCUGAGCGAAUCUCUAGAUAUAGAGUCGAAACCUAAGCCCGAAAUUCUUAAGCAGAUUAAACAGGAAGGAGGCUCUGAUGGCAAUGGUCUUAAAGUUGGAUUGAGGAAGAACAGAAAUGGUUUGUGGGAAAUCAGCAAACCGGAAGACCAGACAUUUUCAUCCGGAAGUAGAUUGAGAGACAAUUUUGGUCAGGAUAUCAUUCCAAUGAGCAGCGGUGCCACCGGUAGUGGCAAAGAAGGUGAAGAUGCCAGCGUUAAUCAAGAUGGCAAUGGGAACCUUGACUUCUCGAACAAUGCGUUUGAUCUUGAGGCCAUUUCUCUUAUUGACCCAACAUAUGGUUUUGGUAACGAAAAUCCGUCGGUACCAGCAGGGGAUGCUGAAGUUAUAGUACUAAGUGAUUCUGAAGAAGAAAAUGAGCCAAUUAUCUCAUCUGGGCCUAUCUUUAAUAACAACCAUAGUGAUGCACCUGUAGUUCCUUUUCCAUGUCAGUCACAAGGAAUUCCGGAUUCUUUUCAUGACUCUACGCUGGUUAACGGUGGGAAUUCAUGUCUCGGGCUGUUCAAUUCUAAUGAUGAUGAAUUUGGGAUGAACAUGUGGUCUUUGCCUUCUGGAACCCAAGGGGGGCCUGGUUUUCAGUUAUUUAGUUCUGAUGCUGAUGUUUCAGGAUCUUUAGUAGAUGAGCAGCAUGGUUCUAUUAACUGUCCCAGUUCUCUCAGUGGCUACGGGUUGGCUGCAGAUACCGGCAUUGGAUCUACUUCUCUUCUUCCUGGAACAUAUGCAAAUCGCCCCAAUGCUAAUAUAAAUGACAGUUUAGUUGAUAAUUCCCUAGCAUUUAGUGGUAAUGAUCCCUCACUUCAGAUAUUUCUUCCUACUAGACCAUCUGAUACGUCAGUUGAGGCUACGAGGGAUCAGCCUGAUGUUUCAAAUGGCGUUGGUACUGAGGAUUGGAUAUCACUUCGACUUGGUGGUGAUGGAGNAAAAAAUAUAACGGGUAAAUUGACCAGAAUUAACUGGUAAGCCGCUAGUCUUGUUUGGAUUUACAACAGCGCUAGUUGGGAAGCUCCAGUAUGAGCACAAUUCACAGACCUUAGAGUAGUGCCAUGUAGCUCUUUUACAGAUAUUUUCUUUUCGGUGUAGUAUGUCUACCUAUCCUGGUAGAUGAUAUUCUUACAAAAGAUAAAAUGUGUUGUCAGAAGUUCUUUUUUGAUUCAUGUAUUGGAGCUUUUCUAAAUGUAGGUAGUGAUGCUACUGUUUGUGCAGCUUCAUUGCUUCUUGGUAUGAAUGACAGCAGACCAACUAAGAGCAGUAGAGAACGAUCUGAUAGUCCUUUUACAUUUCCUCGUCAACGUCGUUCUGUAAGACCAAGAUUGUAUCUAAGUAUUGAUUCGGAUUCUGAAUAGGAGCAGAUUCCAUGGUGGCAGAACAAUGAUUACUUUUACUCAGCAAAGUAUGUGGAUGUGACAAGAUGAGCUCUUGCUAGUGCGCACACAUCGAUCAACAGGAAACCGCUCUCUUACAUCACUGCUGGCACCUAGGAGUUCUCUUAUUUGUAGGACCGGAACACAUUCUUUUCUCUUCCAUUUCCUUGAUGAUUCCCUGGAGGGUGAUCGCUGGUGAAUUGUACAUUUGGACAGCUUAGCUCAGUACAAAAAGUUCUAGUAACAUCCACUGGUAAAUCAAAUUUGGAUAGAGGGGAGGCAUUUUAGUGAUUCAAAAUCUCCUUUUGCCUUGUGGGAGGCCAAUAGCCUGUAAAUCUGUUUAACUAAUUUAUAGAAAGUAUAAUGUAUGUGAAUGUGUUAAUCGUUCUAGCUCAAUGGACGCUGGAUAGUACCAGAUUGUGCCAUGAGUGCACAAAGUGAAAAUGAGGUUCAAUCUCGUGAUAUUUUUGGUGCGAGGAAAGGUAGGAGGGACCGACUGACACUGAGGGUUUUUUCUAUCCAAUUUAUUUGGAAUGAGAAAGGAAUGCAGAACCCAUGAUAGAGUUGUAUGAUUAUGUGAUAUGAAGGUGGAGAACUGUGCCUAACCCUUAUGUGAAAAUGAGAACCUGCCCCUUGUUUCUUGUUUG